CGUAGUAACAACGAACGAUGAGAAGUCAGCAGAGGUCAUAGUACCAUAUAGGCUUAAAACUUUAUGGGAAGGAC
RNAcentral lists this non-coding RNA (74 nucleotides) under Natranaerovirga hydrolytica. The record is from RNAcentral. Lineage: Bacteria; Bacillati; Bacillota; Clostridia; Lachnospirales; Natranaerovirgaceae.